RNAcentral lists this ribosomal RNA (301 nucleotides) under uncultured bacterium. RNAcentral's name for it is "partial 16S ribosomal RNA". It matches the Rfam family "Bacterial small subunit ribosomal RNA", at positions 509 to 807 of the family's 1533-position model. The record is from RNAcentral.
CAGCAGCCGCGGGAAAACCGAGGGUGCGAGCGUUAAUCGGAUUUACUGGGCGUAAAGCGUGUGUAGGUUGUUGUUCAAGUCAGUUGUGAAAUCCCUGGGCUCAACCUGGGAACUGCUUCUGAGACUGAACGACUAGAGUACGGUAGAGGGUGGUGGAAUUUCCGGUGUAGCGGUGAAAUGCGUAGAUAUCGGAAGGAACAUCAAUGGCGAAGGCAGCCACCUGGGCCUGUACUGACACUGAGACACGAAAGCGUGGGGAUCAAACAGGAUUAGAUACCCCGGUAGUCCCUGUCUCUUAUAC